RNAcentral lists this ribosomal RNA (63 nucleotides) under Eimeria hargisi. RNAcentral's name for it is "large subunit ribosomal RNA". Lineage: Eukaryota; Apicomplexa; Conoidasida; Eucoccidiorida; Eimeriidae. The record is from RNAcentral.
UGACUUGGUUGUAUAUUCUUCCAACGAAAUAUCAUGUGAAGUUUCAUGUUCGCCUUAUUUAAA